GUCUGCAACUCGACUACAUGAAGCUGGAAUCGCUAGUAAUCGCGAAUCAGAAUGUCGCGGUGAAUACGUUCCCGGGUCUUGUACACACCGCCCGUCACACCAUGGGAGUCGGAUAUGCCCGAAGUCAGUGACCCAACCAUAUGGAGGGAGCUGCCGAAGGUGGAGCCGAUAACUGGGGUGAAGUCGUAACAAGGUACC
RNAcentral lists this ribosomal RNA (198 nucleotides) under uncultured bacterium. RNAcentral describes it as "partial 16S ribosomal RNA". It matches the Rfam family "Bacterial small subunit ribosomal RNA", at positions 1303 to 1500 of the family's 1533-position model. The record is from RNAcentral.